AGCCCUCGCGGCCAUCUAUUUCGUGGCCGGUGGCUGUUUGCCUGCCAGAGGCCAGCGGGGGCGGUCCAGUCCCUGGCUCUAGGAGCUGUUUCUGGCCGAGCUGAGCGCGGCGGGCUCGGCAUAGCCAUGAGUUGCUGAACUGGGUGGUUUUGCGGACCUGACGAUUCGCCAUACCCCGCUUGGUGUGUCACUGCCGUGGGCGUCUCCAGGUAGCCUCAGCCCAGGGGAUACCUGG
RNAcentral lists this long non-coding RNA (235 nucleotides) under Homo sapiens (human). RNAcentral describes it as "HSALNT0358386". Lineage: Eukaryota; Metazoa; Chordata; Mammalia; Primates; Hominidae. The record is from RNAcentral.